This 794-nucleotide long non-coding RNA is filed under the name Ananas comosus (pineapple). Its description in RNAcentral is "long non-coding RNA (ACOM_LNC002406)". Lineage: Eukaryota; Viridiplantae; Streptophyta; Magnoliopsida; Poales; Bromeliaceae. The record is from RNAcentral.
AAAAAAAUAUAAAAAAUAAAGAAAAUAAAAGGAAUAAACAAUAAAAUAUAAAAAAUAUUUUUUUUUCUAUAAGAAAAAUAAAGAAUCAGAGAGAAAAGAAGAAGAUGAUAAAGAUGCACUGUUUGAGAGGAAUGUUAAAAAUUACACUUUUCUAAAUGAAACUUGCACUCUUUGAAUGAAACUUGCACUCUUUAGGUAAAAAUUAUACUAUUUCUUCUCAUCCACACAAAAAUAAUGAAGAAGGAGGAGGAGAAAGAGGAGAAAUAAUGCAAUUUUUAUUCAAAAGAGCUUAAUUUUUCUCUCAAAUAAUUUAAGUUUUCUUUAAAACUGUGCAACGUUCCUCUGAAAUAAUGUAACUUUAUCAUCUUCUUCUUUUCUAUCUGAUUCUUUAUUUUUCUUAUAACUUCUUUUCACCCUAUCCGACCUUCAUCGUCUCCUCCACCGCCUUGGCGGCCCUUAGCAAUGGUAACGAAGGCAAUCCCACAUUCUCUUCCUCUAUCUCCUCCGCCGUCGGCGCCAUCGACCCUCGUCGACAAUAACGAGGGCGGCGCCACCUCCUCCGCAAGCGCCAGAGAAGGAAAAAGAGAAACUCGAAUCGGACCUAGAUAAGAAUGAUCAUUAUAUAUCAUUACUGCUACCCAAAAAUGAUAUAUAAUUUUCUCUCUCAAAAAAAAAUUAUAUAUUUUUUUUACUUUUUAUUCUUAUUUUUACCAUCUACAUCUUUGUUCGAUCCUUAAAGAUGGGCACGUCUUUUUUUUCUCACCCUCACGGGCGGCGAGCACCUCCUCAACAAU